Molecule: ribosomal RNA, 484 nt
Filed under: uncultured bacterium
Lineage: Bacteria
Description: partial 16S ribosomal RNA
Rfam family: Bacterial small subunit ribosomal RNA
Source: RNAcentral
AUUGAACGCUGGCGGCAGGCCUAACACAUGCAAGUCGAGCGGUAGAGAGACGCUUGCUUCUCUUGAGAGCGGCGGACGGGUGAGUAAUGCCUAGGAAUCUGCCUGGUCGUGGGGGAUAACGUUCGGAAACGGACGCUAAUACCCCAUACGUCCUACGGGACAAAGCAGGUGACCUUCGAGCCCUGCGCUUUCAGAUGAGCCGAGGCCGGAUUAGCUAGUUGGUGGGGUAAUGGCUCACCAAGGCGACGAUCCGUAACUGGUCUGAGAGGAUGAUCAGUCACACUGGAACUGAGACACGGUCCAGACUCCUACGGGAGGCAGCAGAGGGGAAUAUUAGACAAUGGGAGAAAGCCUGAUCCAGCCAUGCCGCGUGUGUGAAGAAAGUCUUCGGAUUGGAAAGCACUUCAAGUUGGGAGGAAGGGCAGUAAAUUAAUACGGUGCGGUGUUGACGGUACCGACAGAAUAAGCACCGGCUAACUCUGUG